UACAGAGGGUGCAAGCGUUAAUCGGAAUUACUGGGCGUAAAGCGUGCGUAGACGGUUAUGUAAGUCAGAUGUGAAAUCCCCGGGCUCAACCCGGGAACUGCGUCCGAUACUGGCAGGCUUGAAUCCGGGAGAGGGAUGCGGAAUUCCAGGUGUAGCGGUGAAAUGCGUAGAUAUCUGGAGGAACACCGGUGGCGAAGGCGGCAUCCUGGACCGGUAUUGACGCUGAUGCGCGAAAGCCAGGGGAGCAAACGGG
RNAcentral lists this ribosomal RNA (253 nucleotides) under uncultured bacterium. RNAcentral's name for it is "partial 16S ribosomal RNA". It matches the Rfam family "Bacterial small subunit ribosomal RNA", at positions 524 to 776 of the family's 1533-position model. The record is from RNAcentral.